RNAcentral lists this ribosomal RNA (432 nucleotides) under uncultured bacterium. Its description in RNAcentral is "partial 16S ribosomal RNA". It matches the Rfam family "Bacterial small subunit ribosomal RNA", at positions 29 to 507 of the family's 1533-position model. The record is from RNAcentral.
AACGAACGCUGGCGGCAUGCCUAACACAUGCAAGUCGAACGAGACCUUCGGGUCUAGUGGCGCACGGGUGCGUAACGCGUGGGAACCUGCCCUUAGGUUCGGAAUAACUCAGAGAAAUUUGAGCUAAUACCGGAUAAUGUCUUCGGACCAAAGAUUUAUCGCCUUUGGAUGGGCCCGCGUAGGAUUAGCUUGUUGGUGGGUAAUGGCCUACCAAGGCGACGAUCCUUAGCUGGUCUGAGAGGAUGAUCAGCCACACUGGGACUGAGACACGGCCCAGACUCCUACGGGAGGCAGCAGUGGGGAAUAUUGGACAAUGGGCGAAAGCCUGAUCCAGCAAUGCCGCGUGAGUGAUGAAGGCCUUAGGGUUGUAAAGCUCUUUUACCAGGGAUGAUAAUGACAGUACCUGGAGAAUAAGCGCCGGCUAACUCCGUG